ACGAACGCUGGCGGCGUGCCUAAUACAUGCAAGUCGAACGGUCUUUCUAUGGAAGCUUGCUUCCACUGAGAAGAUAGUGGCGAACGGGUGAGUAACACGUGGGUAACCUGCCCAUAAGAGGGGGAUAACAUCCGGAAACGGGUGCUAAUACCGCAUAGUUUUCUUGAUCGCAUGAUUGAGAAAGGAAAGACGGCCUUUGUGCUGUCGCUUAUGGAUGGACCCGCGGCGUAUUAGUUAGUUGGUGAGGUAACGGCUCACCAAGACGAUGAUACGUAGCCGACCUGAGAGGGUGAUCGGCCACAUUGGGACUGAGACACGGCCCAAACUCCUACGGGAGGCAGCAGUAGGGAAUCUUCCGCAAUGGACGAAAGUCUGACGGAGCAACGCCGCGUGAGUGAAGAAAGGUUUUCGGAUCGUAAAACUCUGUUGUCAGAGAAGAACAAGUUGGAGAGUAACUGCUCCAGCCUUGACGGUAUCUGACCAGAAAGCCACGGCUAACUACGUGCCAGCCGCAGC
RNAcentral lists this ribosomal RNA (516 nucleotides) under uncultured bacterium. RNAcentral describes it as "bacterial SSU rRNA". It matches the Rfam family "Bacterial small subunit ribosomal RNA", at positions 29 to 518 of the family's 1533-position model. The record is from RNAcentral.